RNAcentral lists this ribosomal RNA (887 nucleotides) under methanogenic prokaryote enrichment culture B19_132. Its description in RNAcentral is "bacterial SSU rRNA". It matches the Rfam family "Bacterial small subunit ribosomal RNA", at positions 8 to 916 of the family's 1533-position model. The record is from RNAcentral.
AGAGUUUGAUCCUGGCUCAGGACGAACGCUGGCGGCGUGCCUAACACAUGCAAGUCGAACGAAGUAUAUUUUUCGGAAUAUACUUAGUGGCGGACGGGUGAGUAACGCGUGAACAAUCUGCCCUAUACAAAGGAAUAGCCUCGGGAAACCGGGAUUAAAACCAUAUAACACUUUUCGGUCGCAUGACUGAGAAGUCAAAUUGAUUAAGAGGUAUAGGAUGAGUUCGCGUCUGAUUAGCUAGUUGGUGAGGUAAUGGCUCACCAAGGCGACGAUCAGUAGCCGGCCUGAGAGGGUGAACGGCCACACUGGAACUGAGACACGGUCCAGACUCCUACGGGAGGCAGCAGUGGGGAAUAUUGCACAAUGGGCGAAAGCCUGAUGCAGCGACGCCGCGUGAGUGAAGAAGGUCUUCGGAUCGUAAAACUCUGUCCUUGGGGAAGAUAAUGACGGUACCCAAGGAGGAAGCCCCGGCUAACUACGUGCCAGCAGCCGCGGUAAUACGUAGGGGGCGAGCGUUGUCCGGAUUUACUGGGCGUAAAGGGUGAGUAGGCGGUUAUUUAAGUCAGAUGUAAAAGGCUAUGGCUCAACUAUAGUAAGCAUUUGAAACUGGAUAACUUGAGUGCAGGAGAGGUAAGUGGAAUUCCUAGUGUAGCGGUGAAAUGCGUAGAUAUUAGGAGGAACACCAGUGGCGAAGGCGACUUACUGGACUGUAACUGACGCUGAGUCACGAAAGCGUGGGUAGCAAACAGGAUUAGAUACCCUGGUAGUCCACGCUGUAAACGAUGAGUGCUAGGUGUUGGCUAGCGAUAGUCAGUGCCGACGUAAACACAAUAAGCACUCCGCCUGGGGAGUACGGUCGCAAGACUGAAACUCAAAGGAAUUGACGG